GACGAACGCUGGCGGCGUGCCUAAUACAUGCAAGUAGAACGCUGAAGGAGGAGCUUGCUUCUCUGGAUGAGUUGCGAACGGGUGAGUAACGCGUAGGUAACCUGCCUUGUAGCGGGGGAUAACUAUUGGAAACGAUAGCUAAUACCGCAUAAGAGUAGAUGUUGCAUGACAUUUGCUUAAAAGGUGCAAUUGCAUCACUACCAGAUGGACCUGCGUUGUAUUAGCUAGUUGGUGGGGUAACGGCUUACCAAGGCGACGAUACAUAGCCGACCUGCGAGGGUGAUCGGCCACACUGGGACUGUGACACGGCACAGAGUCCUACGGGAGGCAGCAGUAGGGAAUCUUAGGCAAUGGACGGAAGACUGACCGAGCAACGCCGCGUGAGUGAAGAAGGUUUUCGGAUCGUAAAGCUCUGUUGUAAGAGAAGAACGAGUGUGCGAGUGGAAAGUUCCCACUGUGACGGUAUCUUACAAGAAAGGGACGGCUAACUACGUG
RNAcentral lists this ribosomal RNA (495 nucleotides) under uncultured bacterium. RNAcentral describes it as "partial 16S ribosomal RNA". It matches the Rfam family "Bacterial small subunit ribosomal RNA", at positions 28 to 507 of the family's 1533-position model. The record is from RNAcentral.